This 23-nucleotide microRNA is filed under the name Apis mellifera (honey bee). RNAcentral's name for it is "ame-miR-3747b-5p". The record is from miRBase by way of RNAcentral. Lineage: Eukaryota; Metazoa; Arthropoda; Insecta; Hymenoptera; Apidae.
UGCGAGAUUUCUUUUCAGUCGUG